RNAcentral lists this ribosomal RNA (229 nucleotides) under uncultured bacterium. RNAcentral describes it as "partial 16S ribosomal RNA". It matches the Rfam family "Bacterial small subunit ribosomal RNA", at positions 568 to 796 of the family's 1533-position model. The record is from RNAcentral.
CGCGUAGGCGGUCUUGUCGGUCAGAUGUGAAAGCCCGGGGCUCAACCCUGGAAGUGCAUUUGAAACAGCAAGGCUUGAAUACUGGAGAGGAGAGCGGAAUUCCUGGUGUAGAGGUGAAAUUCGUAGAUAUCAGGAGGAACACCGAUGGCGAAGGCAGCUCUCUGGACAGAUAUUGACGCUGAGGCGCGAAGGUGUGGGUAGCGAACAGGAUUAGAUACCCUGGUAGUCC